UACGUAGGGAGCAAGCGUUGUCCGGAAUCAUUGGGCGUAAAGCGCGCGUAGGCGGCCUUGUAAGUCCGUUGUGAAAGUCAAAGGCUCAACCUUUGAAAGCCGAUGGAUACUGCGAGGCUAGAGUCCGGAAGAGGCGAGUGGAAUUCCUGGUGUAGCGGUGGAAUGCGCAGAUAUCAGGAAGAACACCCGUGGCGAAGGCGGUUCUCUGGGACGGUACUGACGCUGAGACGCGAAAGCGUGGGGAGCGAACAGG
Molecule: ribosomal RNA, 253 nt
Filed under: uncultured bacterium
Lineage: Bacteria
Description: partial 16S ribosomal RNA
Rfam family: Bacterial small subunit ribosomal RNA
Source: RNAcentral